CGUAUUCUGCCGAGGAUGAGACUAAUGCAUGGCUCGAUACAUCACAAUUUAGAAGGGUUCUCUUUCUCCCUUGUUCAUCGCUGUUCUCCGCUACUCUUCUCUCUUUCUCUCUCUCUAAGACCAUCUCUCUCUUUUCUUCUUCAUUUUCCUCAACCACCCCAGAGCCCUUCUAUCUCUCUUAUUCUCCAUGACCGGCAACAUCAGGACCAAAACAUAUGGUGAAAAUUUUGGAAUCUCUUCCAGCAUUCUUGUGAGACUCUAAUUGGUCUGGAUAUGAAGCUACUAAACGCAUGAGACACAGAAAUCAUCUUAAUUGAUCUUGCAGGUGAAAUGUUAGAAAUCAGCUUCAGCACCUUAAUUAGAUUUUGCAAGUUUUCCUUGAUUCUUCGCUCUUUGUUCGUACAAUUCUACAAAGGUCACUUGUUCUCCCGCUUUUCCGUGAGUGCAGCUGUGGCAAUGGCCUCAGGAUUUUCUCUCGUAGGUGCAAAGGUUGAAUAUUUACUUCGACUCCAGAUUCAGGGAGUAAUGCUUCGUUUAGUACCCCAAUCAGCCUAAGCCCAAGCUUUGGCCUUUUAGCAUAGUUUAGCUUUAGAGAGAAUCGGCCACCCUUGAAGCUUUAUCAAGAUCAGAGCCUUGAAGCGUAUGACCCUGGAUACUAGAUUUUGCACUAACUGUAGCUAUUUGAUCUUUGCAUUACCUGCUAUAUAUGUAUAUAAGCUCUUGAUGCAUUAUAUCUCACGUGGAUGGUGUUAUCAUAAUAUUUUUGUUUGGUUUAAAAUCUUGUGUAACUGGAUGAGUUAUUUUGUGCCAA
Molecule: long non-coding RNA, 811 nt
Organism: Coffea arabica (coffee)
Lineage: Eukaryota; Viridiplantae; Streptophyta; Magnoliopsida; Gentianales; Rubiaceae
Source: RefSeq, a predicted model, not a curated record